Molecule: non-coding RNA, 306 nt
Organism: Hydra vulgaris (swiftwater hydra)
Lineage: Eukaryota; Metazoa; Cnidaria; Hydrozoa; Anthoathecata; Hydridae
Source: RefSeq, a predicted model, not a curated record
GGAAAACAAGGAUGUAUUUUCAAACAAAUUGAGUGAUUAUGGUGGAGCAUACGGUGGCGGAUAUGGUUACGGCAAAAAAGAGAUAAAUGAAAACAAAGAUAAAAGUGAAGGUGGAUAUGGCGGAUAUGGUUACGGAAAAAGAGAAACCGAACAAGAUGGGGGAUACGGGGGCGGAUACGGAGGUGGAUACAGUGGAGGAUAUGGUUACGGAAAAAAAGAGAUAAAUGAAGUAGCUGACCCUAGAGGACGUGGUAACAGAAGUGGUGGAGGAGGAGGUGGUGGUGGCGGUGGAGGUAGCAGAAGUGG